CAAGAUAAAUUGCAGGUGAUGAAGAGUGAGAACGGUGGAAAAGAUUGGGAUAAUGACGGUGAUGGCCCCGACUUGCCACUAAUGGAUGAAGGAAGACAGCCCUUAUCAAGGAAAAUGCCACUUCCGUCUAGCCAAAUCAACCCUUACAGAAUGAUUAUCAUGGUCCGUCUAGUGGUUGUUUGUUUCUUCUUCCACUACCGACUAUUACAUCCAGUGAACGAUGCAUUUGGCUUGUGGCUUGUAUCUGUUAUAUGCGAAGUCUGGUUUGCAGUUUCGUGGAUUCUCGACCAGUUUCCAAAGUGGCUCCCAAUUGAAAGGGAAACUUAUCUCGACAGACUGUCUUUAAGGUAUGAGAAGGAAGGCCAGCCUUCACGACUGGCUCCGGUCGACUUUUUCGUGAGUACAGUCGACCCACUGAAGGAACCCCCUUUGGUCACAGCGAACACUGUACUUUCCAUUCUAGCGGUGGAUUAUCCAGUUGACAAAGUUUCUUGCUACGUGUCUGAUGACGGUGCUGCAAUGCUGACAUUCGAAGCUUUAUCAGAAACAUCGGAAUUCGCAAAGAAAUGGGUCCCUUUCUGCAAGAAAUUCAAUAUUGAGCCGCGGGCACCAGAGUUCUAUUUCCAACAAAAGAUAGAUUAUCUGAAGGAUAAGAUCUUAGCUUCAUUUGUUAAGGAAAGAAGAGCUAUGAAGAGAGAGUAUGAAGAGUUCAAGGUCCGAAUCAACGCUUUAGUAUCAAAAGCCUUGAAGGUUCCAGAAGAAGGUUGGACAAUGCAAGAU
RNAcentral lists this unclassified non-coding RNA (780 nucleotides) under Hevea brasiliensis (rubber tree). The record is from RNAcentral. Lineage: Eukaryota; Viridiplantae; Streptophyta; Magnoliopsida; Malpighiales; Euphorbiaceae.